GAUUGUAAGAAAAAUGUUUAAUUUUAAAAUGAUCGUGUAGUACUAUUUAGCAGGUGGAAAAUAAGCACUUAAAAUUAUUAUGGGGUGAAUUUAAAUUCAUAAACUUUGAAAAUCGAGUAAGUGGAAUUCCAGACGUACAAAUUAAACCUCCCGACCUUGGCCAAACUUCAAAAAUUCCCCAAAUCGAGAAAAUUUAAACCCUAAUUCCCCAAUCAUCCCUCGAAUAUAGUUGAGCCCAAUAGGAUCAGAUUUGAUCCGAUUAUAUAUUAAUAUUGGGCUAGACUUGGCCCAAUGAGAUCGAGUGUACGUGACUAAACAGAGGAAUUUAUGUAACUAGAGUACUUGAAACAAUUACGAG
This 358-nucleotide long non-coding RNA is filed under the name Salvia miltiorrhiza (redroot sage). RNAcentral's name for it is "long non-coding RNA (SMIL_LNC001781)". Lineage: Eukaryota; Viridiplantae; Streptophyta; Magnoliopsida; Lamiales; Lamiaceae. The record is from RNAcentral.